Molecule: long non-coding RNA, 859 nt
Filed under: Sus scrofa (pig)
Lineage: Eukaryota; Metazoa; Chordata; Mammalia; Artiodactyla; Suidae
Description: lncRNA (ENSSSCG00070013912.1)
Source: RNAcentral
UGACAGUUCCAAAUUUUAUAAUAUCUUUGAUGUCAUAUCAGCUCAUUGUGCUCAUGACUCUGCAUUUUAAUUCUCCUUAUAUCUAGUCUUUUUUUUUGUUGACCUUCAUACUGGAAGAUGACACUGUUGAUAGUGUUUGCUAUCUGGGAGAAUCUUUUUGGGUGAAAAGAUUAUUACUGUUCCAUUUAUUCUUGCCCUUCUAAAGGAUCUUUGGUUUGUGCCAUUUUUGAAGACUGACUUCAUUUGCAGUUCUAUAUUAGCCCUGAUGAUGAAAUUUUCAGUGCUUUCUGUUUUAUUCUAUUUUUUGUAGAUUAUAGUGGGACCAGUCUCAUUAGGUUGAAUCUACAGCCUAUGUUGGUGUUAAUCCAGUGUUAAAAGGACCUGAACAAAGUCUGCUCAAACCUCUUGCUGUGAACCAGCAGAACUUUUGGACAGUUGGCCCUCUGUAUCCACGGGUUCCUUAUUCUUGGAUGUGGAGGGCUGACUGUAAAGGAUUUUGUAAAGGAGCAUCCCUGGAUUUUGGUGUCCACAGAGGGUCUUGGAACCAGUCUCCUUCUGGUACCAAGGGACAACUGUAUGUAUAAUUACACUCUUGUGUGCAAACGUACCUGUAUUCUGUUGAGUGAGUGUGCUGCUCAAGAUUGCUUUCAGUCUUUUACUGUUAGAAGUGAUGUGGUAUGUGUCGUUCCCCUCUCAUGUUUGAACUUUUUUUUUCAUUAUUUUAGUUAGCUUUUUUCUGAAGUUUGAAAAAAAUGCAUUCUAAAACCUACAUAUUUUAGCCUAGUGACUGAGUGUUGCUUCAUUUGAAUGUGAACUUGUUGUGGUCUUAAUGAUUUAUAGAUUAUUUUAUCAAGAGAGU